ACUCCUACGGGAGGCAGCAGUCGGGAAUAUUGGACAAUGGGCGAAAGCCUGAUCCAGCAAUACCGCGUGUGUGAAGAAGGCCUGCGGGUUGUAAAGCACUUUCAGUUGGGAAGAUAAUGACGUUACCAACAGAAGAAGCACCGGCUAACUCCGUGCCAGCAGCCGCGGUAAUACGGAGGGUGCGAGCGUUAAUCGGAAUUACUGGGCGUAAAGCGCAUGCAGGCGGCCUGUUAAGUCAGAUGUGAAAGCCCGGGGCUUAACCUCGGAAUUGCAUUUGAAACUGGCAGGCUAGAGUCUUGUAGAGGGGGUAGAAUUUCAGGUGUAGCGGUGAAAUGCGUAGAGAUCUGAAGGAAUACCAGUGGCGAAGGCGGCCCCCUGGACAAAGACUGACGCUCAGAUGCGAAAGCGUGGGGAGCAAACAGGAUUAGAUACCCUGGUAGGAUAGCGU
RNAcentral lists this ribosomal RNA (448 nucleotides) under uncultured bacterium. RNAcentral describes it as "bacterial SSU rRNA". It matches the Rfam family "Bacterial small subunit ribosomal RNA", at positions 335 to 800 of the family's 1533-position model. The record is from RNAcentral.